Molecule: transfer RNA, 65 nt
Filed under: Pilophorus typicus
Lineage: Eukaryota; Metazoa; Arthropoda; Insecta; Hemiptera; Miridae
Description: tRNA-Glu
Rfam family: tRNA
About the family: Transfer RNA (tRNA) molecules are approximately 80 nucleotides in length. Their secondary structure includes four short double-helical elements and three loops (D, anti-codon, and T loops). Further hydrogen bonds mediate the characteristic L-shaped molecular structure. tRNAs have two regions of fundamental functional importance: the anti-codon, which is responsible for specific mRNA codon recognition, and the 3' end, to which the tRNAs corresponding amino acid is attached (by aminoacyl-tRNA synthetases). tRNAs cope with the degeneracy of the genetic code in two manners: having more than one tRNA (with a specific anti-codon) for a particular amino acid; and 'wobble' base-pairing, i.e. permitting non-standard base-pairing at the 3rd anti-codon position.
Source: RNAcentral
AUUUAUGUAGUUUAAGAAAAAAACAUUUCAUUUUCAAUGAAAAAAAAAGAUAAUCUUCAUAAAUU